This 327-nucleotide small RNA is filed under the name Arabidopsis thaliana (thale cress). RNAcentral's name for it is "ATSL087140". The record is from RNAcentral. Lineage: Eukaryota; Viridiplantae; Streptophyta; Magnoliopsida; Brassicales; Brassicaceae.
UAAUGCUGAAACCAUUUGACAUCAUUACACUGUCAAAUUUUUCAUGCCACUGUUUAGGAGGUUGUUUUAGUUCAUAUAGUGACUUCACAAGUUUAUAGACAUUGUGUUCUUGUCCUGGGACUACAAACCUUUCGGGUUGUUUCAUAUACAAUAGAACCUCUAUAAAUUAUUACUCUAUAAAUUAAUAACCUCUAUAAAUUAAUAAAUGUCCCGAGUUAGGAUCAGUGUAAAAAGUAAUACAAAUCGAUAAAUUAAUAAGAUUAUAAUUUUUCUGAAAGUCCUAUGUAAAUAUAUGGUCCCAUCAAUAUCAUAAAUUAAUAAUUGUAU